CUGUGUAGUGAACUGAAAUAAAAUCACAUAGUUUUAAAUGAUGCAAAACAAUUCUAGAACACUAAUCAACCAAAAUAUACAUGUAAAAUAUUCAUAUUUCUAAACAAAUCUGCAUAAUACAUACAAGACAGGGACAACAGGUCUAUUUUUCAUAUUGAAAUUUGUUGAAAUAAAAUUCAUUUAAAACAAGAGGCUCUCAAGAGCCUGAAUCGCUCACCUGAAUUUUUUUGGUUUAAUCUCUCAUCAAUGAUUAUUUUGGCUUUUCAAUUUAUUUAAAUGUUCUUUGAAUCGUCCUAUUUUCUUCAAAAGCAAAAAAAAAUCA
Molecule: long non-coding RNA, 322 nt
Filed under: Mytilus galloprovincialis (Mediterranean mussel)
Lineage: Eukaryota; Metazoa; Mollusca; Bivalvia; Mytilida; Mytilidae
Source: RNAcentral